RNAcentral lists this ribosomal RNA (253 nucleotides) under uncultured bacterium. RNAcentral's name for it is "partial 16S ribosomal RNA". It matches the Rfam family "Bacterial small subunit ribosomal RNA", at positions 524 to 776 of the family's 1533-position model. The record is from RNAcentral.
UACAGAGGUCUCAAGCGUUGUUCGGAUUCAUUGGGCGUAAAGGGUGCGUAGGCGGCGCGGUAAGUCGGGUGUGAAAUCUCGGGGCUUAACUCCGAAACUGCAUUCGAUACUGCCGUGCUUGAGGACUGGAGAGGAGACUGGAAUUUACGGUGUAGCGGUGAAAUGCGUAGAUAUCGUAGGGAAGACCAGUUGCGAAGGCGGGUCUCUGGACAGUUCCUGACGCUGAGGCACGAAGGUCAGGGGAGCAAACGGG